UUAAGCGACUAAGCGUACACGGUGGAUGCCCUGGCAGUCAGAGGCGAUGAAGGACGUGCUAAUCUGCGAAAAGCGUCGGUAAGGUGAUAUGAACCGUUAUAACCGGCGAUGUCCGAAUGGGGAAACCCAGUGUGAUUCGUCACACUAUCGUUAACUGAAUACAUAGGUUAACGAGGCGAACCGGGGGAACUGAAACAUCUAAGUACCCCGAGGAAAAGAAAUCAACCGAGAUUCCCCCAGUAGCGGCGAGCGAACGGGGAGCAGCCCAGAGUCUGAAUCAGCUUGUGUGUUAGUGGAACGGUCUGGAAAGUCCGACGGUACAGGGUGAUAGUCCCGUACACCAAAAUGCACAGGCUGUGAACUCGAAGAGUAGGGCGGGACACGUGGUAUCCUGUCUGAAUAUGGGGGGACCAUCCUCCAAGGCUAAAUACUCCUGACUGACCGAUAGUGAACCAGUACCGUGAGGGAAAGGCGAAAAGAACCCCGGCGAGGGGAGUGAAAAAGAACCUGAAACCGUGUACGUACAAGCAGUGGGAGCACCUUCGGGUGUGACUGCGUACCUUUUGUAUAAUGGGUCAGCGACUUAUAUUCUGUAGCAAGGUUAACCGUAUAGGGGAGCCGCAGGGAAACCGAGUCUUAACUGGGCGUUAAGUUGCAGGGUAUAGACCCGAAACCCGGUGAUCUAGCCAUGGGCAGGUUGAAGGUUGGGUAACACUAACUGGAGGACCGAACCGACUAAUGUUGAAAAAUUAGCGGAUGACUUGUGGCUGGGGGUGAAAGGCCAAUCAAACCGGGAGAUAGCUGGUUCUCCCCGAAAGCUAUUUAGGUAGCGCCUCGUGAAUUCAUCUUCGGGGGUAGAGCACUGUUUCGGCUAGGGGGUCAUCCCGACUUACCAACCCGAUGCAAACUACGAAUACCGAAGAAUGUUAUCACGGGAGACACACGGCGGGUGCUAACGUCCGUCGUGAAGAGGGAAACAACCCAGACCGCCAGCUAAGGUCCCAAAGUCAUGGUUAAGUGGGAAACGAUGUGGGAAGGCACAGACAGCCAGGAUGUUGGCUUAGAAGCAGCCAUCAUUUAAAGAAAGCGUAAUAGCUCACUGGUCGAGUCGGCCUGCGCGGAAGAUGUAACGGGGCUAAACCAUGCACCGAAGCUGCGGCAGCGACACUAUGUGUUGUUGGGUAGGGGAGCGUUCUGUAAGCCUGCGAAGGUGACCUGUGAGGGUUGCUGGAGGUAUCAGAAGUGCGAAUGCUGACAUAAGUAACGAUAAAGCGGGUGAAAAGCCCGCUCGCCGGAAGACCAAGGGUUCCUGUCCAACGUUAAUCGGGGCAGGGUGAGUCGACCCCUAAGGCGAGGCCGAAAGGCGUAGUCGAUGGGAAACAGGUUAAUAUUCCUGUACUUGGUGUUACUGCGAAGGGGGGACGGAGAAGGCUAUGUUAGCCGGGCGACGGUUGUCCCGGUUUAAGCAUGUAGGCUGGUUGUCCAGGCAAAUCCGGAUAAUCAAGGCUGAGGUGUGAUGACGAGGUACUACGGUGCUGAAGUAACAAAUGCCCUGCUUCCAGGAAAAGCCUCUAAGCAUCAGGUAACAUCAAAUCGUACCCCAAACCGACACAGGUGGUCAGGUAGAGAAUACCAAGGCGCUUGAGAGAACUCGGGUGAAGGAACUAGGCAAAAUGGUGCCGUAACUUCGGGAGAAGGCACGCUGGUGUGUAGGUGAAGUCCCUGCGGAUGGAGCUGAGACCAGUCGAAGAUACCAGCUGGCUGCAACUGUUUAUUAAAAACACAGCACUGUGCAAACACGAAAGUGGACGUAUACGGUGUGACGCCUGCCCGGUGCCGGAAGGUUAAUUGAUGGGGUUAUCCGUAAGGAGAAGCUCUUGAUCGAAGCCCCGGUAAACGGCGGCCGUAACUAUAACGGUCCUAAGGUAGCGAAAUUCCUUGUCGGGUAAGUUCCGACCUGCACGAAUGGCGUAAUGAUGGCCAGGCUGUCUCCACCCGAGACUCAGUGAAAUUGAACUCGCUGUGAAGAUGCAGUGUACCCGCGGCAAGACGGAAAGACCCCGUGAACCUUUACUAUAGCUUGACACUGAACAUUGAGCCUUGAUGUGUAGGAUAGGUGGGAGGCUUUGAAGCGUGGACGCCAGUCUGCGUGGAGCCAACCUUGAAAUACCACCCUUUAAUGUUUGAUGUUCUAACGUUGGCCCCUUAUCGGGGUUGCGGACAGUGUCUGGUGGGUAGUUUGACUGGGGCGGUCUCCUCCCAAAGCGUAACGGAGGAGCACGAAGGUUAGCUAAUCCUGGUCGGACAUCAGGAGGUUAGUGCAAUGGCAUAAGCUAGCUUGACUGCGAGCGUGACGGCGCGAGCAGGUGCGAAAGCAGGUCAUAGUGAUCCGGUGGUUCUGAAUGGAAGGGCCAUCGCUCAACGGAUAAAAGGUACUCCGGGGAUAACAGGCUGAUACCGCCCAAGAGUUCAUAUCGACGGCGGUGUUUGGCACCUCGAUGUCGGCUCAUCACAUCCUGGGGCUGAAGUAGGUCCCAAGGGUAUGGCUGUUCGCCAUUUAAAGUGGUACGCGAGCUGGGUUUAGAACGUCGUGAGACAGUUCGGUCCCUAUCUGCCGUGGGCGCUGGAGAAUUGAGGGGGGCUGCUCCUAGUACGAGAGGACCGGAGUGGACGCAUCACUGGUGUUCGGGUUGUCAUGCCAAUGGCACUGCCCGGUAGCUAAAUGCGGAAGAGAUAAGUGCUGAAAGCAUCUAAGCACGAAACUUGCCCCGAGAUGAGUUCUCCCUGAGACUUUAAGUCUCCUGAAGGAACGUUGAAGACGACGACGUUGAUAGGCCGGGUGUGUAAGCGCAGCGAUGCGUUGAGCUAACCGGUACUAAUGAACCGUGAGGCUUAACCUU
This 2900-nucleotide ribosomal RNA is filed under the name Klebsiella pneumoniae. RNAcentral's name for it is "bacterial LSU rRNA". It matches the Rfam family "Bacterial large subunit ribosomal RNA". The record is from RNAcentral. Lineage: Bacteria; Pseudomonadati; Pseudomonadota; Gammaproteobacteria; Enterobacterales; Enterobacteriaceae.